UUUUAAUAGCUGCAGUAAUUUAACUGUACAAAGGUAGCAUAAUAAUUAGUCUUUUAAUUGAGGUCUAGAAUGAAUGGUUCAACAAGAAGAAAACUUUAUUUUUAAAAUAGAAUUUUAAUUUAAUUUUUUGGUUAAAAAGCUAAAAUAUUUAAUUGGGACGAUAAGACCCUAUAGAUCUUAAAUUUUUUGUUGAUUAAACAUUUUUAGUAAAAUUAAUAUUUUUUAAUUGAAAAUUUUAGUUGGGGUGAUUUAAAAAUUUUUAAAACUUUUUAAUAUUUUUACAUUUAUGGAUGUUUAUUUUGAUCUUUAAUUUUUGAUUGUUAGAUUAAGAUACCUUAGGGAUAACAGCGUAAUAUAUUUGGAUAGUUCAUAUUGAUAAAUUGUGAUUACGACCUCGAUGUUGAAUUAAUUUAAAUUUUUGAAGCAGAAAUUAAAAGUUUUAGGUCUGUUCGACCUUUAAUUAAUUACA
This 469-nucleotide ribosomal RNA is filed under the name Bambusiphaga luodianensis. RNAcentral describes it as "partial 16S ribosomal RNA". Lineage: Eukaryota; Metazoa; Arthropoda; Insecta; Hemiptera; Delphacidae. The record is from RNAcentral.